GUGAGGCAUAAAACAUAUAAUAACAGAACAUGCAAUGUCACAAUUAAAAUGAAUGAAUUAUUCAUUGGAGUAGUGCACAGUUUGUAGAUAAAUGAAGUGUGUAUAUAUAUGUAUUUGCAUACGUUUGUAAGUGUUUAUAUGUGUUUAUAUAUAUAUAUAUAGAAAGAGAGAGAGAGGGGAAAAAGAAAAAACGUGGCAAAUAAAAAGUUGUUGACGAAAGUAAAAUCACAAUAACCUUAGGCUUGACAAAACAAAAAAAGAAAAAAAUAAUAACAUAAAAAAAAAAUAGUCUAUCCUCUCCCCCAUAAAAAGUAGCUACUUUCCAAUAAAAAUAAAAUACGUUUUAACACGAAUAAGAUAAGACCCCACACGAAUAAUACACGUUGCAAAACAUGCAGAUACAGAACUAACAGCUAUGGAUUCAUUACCAUUUUUAGAAGAUCUAGAAAAUGAUUUAAAGUUAUUAAUAAAUGAGACAAAAAAGAAAAACAUUUGCAUAAAGGAGAAAACUGAAAUAAUCAUUAUAAACUUUAAGAAUUAUAAUAGUAUAAUAAUAACAAACAAAAAUAAUUUGUUAAGUAAUUUUCAUUUACCUAUAGAUGAACUUUUUGAAAUUAUAAAUAUAUGUAUCAAUAUUAGUAAUCAUAAAAUUACUUGCAUUUGUUUAAUAAUUAUUCAACGAAUUUUGUUAUAUGUAUUAUAUUUAAUAGACAAUAAAAAAUUAAUAUUCAGUUUUAAUGAAAUAAAUAUAGAAAAACAAAUCGAAAAAAUCGUAAAUAAGUUAUUUGAUAUAACUUUUAUAGAGGAUCGUAAAAUAUUAAUUAAAAUUUUACAAACAAUAUUAUUAGCAUUUUCACCACAAUAUAUAGAACAUUAUAAUAAAGAUAUAAUUAACACAUUAAUAAAAAUACUAUACUCUGUUUAUUAUUCAUCCUUAUGUAACAAUAAUCAUAUUUUACAUCAGACAUGUUGCGCUGCCUUUAAACAGCUACUUAAUUCAUUGAUUGAUGUAUGUAAUAAAGAAUGUGAAAUUAAUUUUUAUGAAAAAAAUAUUACUGUCUCAAAAUGUUCUUCUUUUGAAUACAGUAAGAUAAAAAAAAAGAAAAAAAAAAAAAUAGACGACAAUGGAAACGGAAGCGACUAUGAUCACAAUGACGAAUAUGAACAUAAACGAGAUAGUAAACCUACCGAGGAAAUAUAUAUAGAUAAAAUCAGUUUUUAUUUUGAAAAUUAUAAUUUAUAUUAUGAUGUAAACAGUCCAGUGGACCUAAUUUAUAUAAAUAAAUAUAUUAAUGAGAAUAAAAUGCAAAAUAAAAAUAAACUUUUGUCGUUAAUUCAUUAUUUGUGUUAUUGUUGUUUUGUGAAUAUUCGAUCAGAAUAUUGCUCAGAAAAUAUGUGUACUUACGCAAAGGUAACUCAAAAUAUCGAAACUUUUCAAAACAUAAAAGACUCAACAAAUCAUAAGAAUAGUUGUGACAAUAACUAUGCCAAUAGUUAUACAUGCAGCAAUAGCAACACGAAUAUACAAACUCAUUUGCAAACAAAAGAUAAUAACAAUGCAAAUGGUACUAUAACAAUAAAAAAAGUUAGUGAUAAAGACGGUUAUUUUGAUAAAGCAAAAAACGACAAUGGGCACAUAGACCCAAAUGUAGACCCAAAUGUAGACCUAAAUGGAAACCCAAAUGUAAGCCCAAAUGUAAACCCAAAUGUAAGCCCAAAUGUAAGCCCCACUGCAGACAUAAGUCUGGAUAAACAGAAACUUCUUAUUUCGAAUGCUUCAACUCUAAUAGAUGAAAAAACAGAAAACAACAAUUUUUUAGGUAACACCAAGGAUAAUAGCACUGCUCAUUGUUCAUCAGUUGAUGAUAUAUCAAACAAUCAAAAUGGCCAACAAAAUAUGCAUACAAACAUAUUAACAGGUGCAAAUAAUAGCAAUAUGUGUAUAGAA
RNAcentral lists this long non-coding RNA (1948 nucleotides) under Piliocolobus tephrosceles (Ugandan red Colobus). Its description in RNAcentral is "lncRNA (ENSPTEG00000009179.1)". The record is from RNAcentral. Lineage: Eukaryota; Metazoa; Chordata; Mammalia; Primates; Cercopithecidae.